UUGCUUCAGUAGCACAUUUACAAAAAAUUGGAACAAAACAGAAAUUAGUGGCCCCUGAACAGGGAUGAUACCCAAAUUUCUGAAAUGUUCCAUAUUUUU
Sarcophilus harrisii (Tasmanian devil) is the source of this 99-nucleotide small nuclear RNA. NCBI's taxonomy places the organism in Eukaryota, Metazoa, Chordata, Mammalia, Dasyuromorphia, Dasyuridae. The record is from Ensembl.